GAACGUUUCAGCUCGCUGAAACUAGUAAAGUGGCGAACGGGUGAGUAACGCGUGGGUAAUCUACCUCCGAAUUGGGGAUAACAUUGCGAAAGCGAUGCUAAUACCGAAUGACAUCUCAAUCACUCCGGUUUUUUGAGAUCAAAGGUGGCCUCUCCAUGGAAGCUACUGUUUGGAGAUGAGCACGCGUACCAUUAGCUUGUUGGUAGGGUAAUGGCCUACCAAGGCGACGAUGGUUAGCUGGUCUGAGAGGAUGAUCAGCCACACUGGAACUGACACACGGUCCAGACUCCUACGGGAGGCAGCAGUGAGGAAUUUUGCGCAAUGGGGGAAACCCUGACGCAGCAACGCCGCGUGAGUGAUGAAGGCUCUCGGGUCGUAAAGCUCUGUCAAGUGAGAAGAACCUGCCUUUUUGCUAAUAUCACUGGGCACUGACGGUAUCACUGAAGGAAGCACCGGCUAACUCCGUG
Molecule: ribosomal RNA, 467 nt
Filed under: uncultured bacterium
Lineage: Bacteria
Description: bacterial SSU rRNA
Rfam family: Bacterial small subunit ribosomal RNA
Source: RNAcentral